GACGAACGCUGGCGGUGUGCUUAACACAUGCAAGUCGAACGGUAAGGCCCUUUCGGGGGUACACGAGUGGCGAACGGGUGAGUAACACGUGAGUAACCUGCCCUCAUCUCUGGGAUAACAGUCGGAAACGGUUGCUAAUACUGGAUAUGAGCUUGCAAGGCAUCUUGUGGGUUGGAAAGAUUUUUUUUGGUUGGGGAUGGACUCGCGGCCUAUCAGCUUGUUGGUGAGGUAGUGGCUCACCAAGGCUUCGACGGGUAGCCGGCCUGAGAGGGCGACCGGCCACAUUGGGACUGAGGUACGGCCCAAACUCCUACGGGAGGCAGCAGUGGGGAAUAUUGCACAAUGGACGGAAGUCUGAUGCAGCAACGCCGCGUGCGGGAUGACGGCCUUCGGGUUGUAAACCGCUUUCAAUUGUGACGAAGCUUUUUUGUGACGGUAGCAGUAGAAGAAGCACCGGCUAACUACGUG
Molecule: ribosomal RNA, 468 nt
Filed under: uncultured bacterium
Lineage: Bacteria
Description: partial 16S ribosomal RNA
Rfam family: Bacterial small subunit ribosomal RNA
Source: RNAcentral